AUUGAACGCUGGCGGCAGGCUUAACACAUGCAAGUCGAGCGAGCGGCGGACGGGUGAGUAAUGUCUGGGAAACUGCCUGAUGGAGGGGGAUAACUACUGGAAACGGUAGCUAAUACCGCAUACCAUCAGAUGUGCCCAGAUGGGAUUAGCUAGUAGGUGGGGUAAUGGCUCACCUAGGCGACGAUCCCUAGCUGGUCUACGAGGAGGACCAGCCAAACGGGAACUGAGACACGGUCCAGACUCCUACGGAGGGCAGCAGGGGGGAAUAUUGCACAAUGGGCGCAAGCCUGAUGAAGCCAUGCCGGGGGUGGGAAGAAGGCCUUCGGGUUUUAAAGCACUUUCAGCGAGGAGGCGUUACUCGCAGAAGAAGCACCGGCUAACUCCGUGCCAGCCGCCGCGGUAAUAC
RNAcentral lists this ribosomal RNA (406 nucleotides) under uncultured bacterium. RNAcentral's name for it is "partial 16S ribosomal RNA". It matches the Rfam family "Bacterial small subunit ribosomal RNA", at positions 29 to 526 of the family's 1533-position model. The record is from RNAcentral.